This 65-nucleotide transfer RNA is filed under the name Aquatica wuhana. RNAcentral's name for it is "tRNA-Asn". The record is from RNAcentral. Lineage: Eukaryota; Metazoa; Arthropoda; Insecta; Coleoptera; Lampyridae.
UUAAAUGAAACCAAAUAGAGGUCUAUCACUGUUAAUGAUAAUAAUGAAUAUAAAUUCCAUUUAAA